Molecule: ribosomal RNA, 216 nt
Filed under: Glomeromycotina sp.
Lineage: Eukaryota; Fungi; Glomeromycota
Description: partial small subunit ribosomal RNA
Rfam family: Eukaryotic small subunit ribosomal RNA (bases 44-216)
Source: RNAcentral
GGGUCAGUAGGUUGGUCGUGCCACCGGUACGUACUGGUCUCACUGAUUCCUCCUUCCUGAAGAACCGUAAUGCCAUUAAUCUGGUGUUGCGGGGAAACAGGACUGUUACUUUGAAGAAAUUAGAGUGUUUAAAGCAAGCUAACGCUUGAAUACACUAGCAUGGAAUAAUGAAAUAGGACGAUCGAUCCUAUUUUGUUGGUUUCUAGGAUUGACGUA